RNAcentral lists this long non-coding RNA (5609 nucleotides) under Nicotiana tabacum (common tobacco). Its description in RNAcentral is "long non-coding RNA (NTAB_LNC017354)". The record is from RNAcentral. Lineage: Eukaryota; Viridiplantae; Streptophyta; Magnoliopsida; Solanales; Solanaceae.
UUGGAUUUAUUUCUAAAAUUAAAAUCAAAUUUGACUAGGGUUCCAUCUCUUUCCCUCUUUCAAAGAAAAGAACACUUCUUUUUUCUUUGCCAUAGCAGAGAGUUUUGGCUCCUUCUUGCUUCUUAACAAAAUUUGACUCUCAUAUCUUGUAAUCAGAAAUUUGUGUGACCAUUCUAAGGAAUCAUCUGCAAACUCAAGCACUUUGACCGAAGAAUUCAAAUUUAUUUGCUAUUUAUAAUGAAGAUGACAAAAGUAAAAAGGUUCUCUUUUUUUUUUGUUUCCUCCCAAGUUUUCACCAUUUCGGCAACCAAAUCCUUGCUUUUCCCGCCCAUAUCGUCCUUUUUCUUUCUUCUACAUGCCAUUUCAAAUGGUUCUUUAGCCGUUUGAAACCCUAACCCUUCAAGAAUCCCGCCCAAAUUAACCCUAGAAAAGCUCUAGUAAUUCUUCUAUAAAUAUAGAGUUUUGGUAAUAAUUUAGGACAACUCUAGGAGCCAUCUUCAAACAAUUUUAUUCUUCAAAAUACUUUAAAAUUCUUAGUUGUGUAGCCUCUGUCACUCCUUGCUAUAACAGAGAAAUUUUUCUUUGCACUUUUUUCGGAAAUUAUAAAGUUCGCGGUUGUAAGCUCGAGUUCAAGUCCGAAGCCAGAAUCUAUAGAUCUAUUCGACGUGCCCAAGUUCGCUGCAUCGCAAAAGGUCAGUGCUGAAAUUUUUCUUUUCGCUUUGUCUUUGAAGAUUGAAAAUGGUUGUAUGUUCUUUUGCAUGCGUUUUAAUGGCUGCUUGUUAAAAUCGUGAAUUUUAGCCAACUUCUGUAGAAGUCAUAUAGUUAUAGGUAUUCUGGUUAAGUCAAUGAAAAGGCAAUGAAAUCAUGAAAUCAAAAUAAUGAAAGUUAUACGUAUAGAAAUUAGUAGUUAAUGAAAUGAAAUUUUAUUUUAAAUCCCCUCUUUUCUUUUGUCAAAGAUACGCUGUUGCCUUUUUGUCUACCAUGUAUCAAAUUUUGCUUUUCAUUCCAAGAAUUAAGGUUAUGGCUUCUGCUCUUUUUUUUUAUGUCUUAAAAUAUAUCCCAAGUGUUACUGUUUUAGUGUAAAUGUCAUAGAAAACAUAUUGUUAGAAAUUAACUAUUUGGGUGCUUAGUUUAAAUGAUUUCGUGUUUAGUAAUAAGUUUUUUUUAAAGUGGUUUACUUCAUAGAGUUCUUGUUCAAAAAUGAUAAGAUAUAAGAUAUUUUAUAUAGAUACUACAUGUAUAGAGUCGAACAUUUGAAGAAUACUCCAUGUUUGAAAUAUUUCUUCUUUUGUGAGUUAAGAACUAUAUUUAUAGUUAUAGAUUUACAUUAUGUUUAUGAAAAAGAACUUAAUAAACUAUCUUGACCAUUUUAAACCAGUGAAUAUCUAAAGUUAUUUUGUUAGAUAGCUCUAUGUUUGCUUAAGUAGUUAAGUUUUUCUAGCUGAAAAUAACAUAAAUUUAUUAUAAAGUUAGGACUAGUUAAUGCUUAAACAGUGUAUUGUAGACUGAAAUUAUACUCUCAGAUGGUAGAAAAGAUAAUAUUCAGGAAGACUAAAAUAUCAUGUGCAAAGGACUUGAAGUUUAUUGAAACCACCUGCCAUUAUUAAAAGUUCUUGUACGUGCGCUUAAGCGAAGUCUGCUCGAAAUUUGACAUUUAUGAACCUUUCAAAUGAUUUCCCUUUUCUUACUGUUACUAUCGAGUGUGCCAUUAGAAUACUUUAGUAUUUGGUCCUAAUACUUGAAAUAAAGUAAAAAAAAGCAUGUGUUUUUGUGCGUUAAAUGAUACCAUGCGUAUUAUUUGUCUUAGAAAAGUCUACUGCUACUUCGUCAUUCUUUUUUUAAAAGGGCAUGCUACAAGGACUUUAAUAUCUAAUUUUAUGACUUAGGAUGGAAGGAGAAACCAUAUUGUUCUAAGUUUUAAUAAUCAUGUUGGCUAGAUUAAUCUGUUUCAUCUUUAGAGUUCAAAGGAACAAGAAAAGUUUUUGUUAAUUCAAUAUUUAGAUUAAGGAGAUAUGCCUAAACUUAGAAAUUAAUGAAUUUGCUGGUAUGAGAUUAAUCAAGUUUUUAAAAAGAAGUAUUUGUUUAUGUGAGUUAAUAAUCAUGUUGUAUGUUUAGAAUCCAAUUCAAAGUUAACUGUUCUUUUAUAUGUCUCAGUUUAUUGCCAAUAUCUUUAUUUCUAAUUCUCGUCUUUUUUUCUUUUUUUUCUUUGUUUGGCAUAUGCACUUGGAACAUUAUGAGUCUUAAUGCAAGACUCAACCCAUACCAGCAUGGAGUCAUUAGUAUUGAGCCUUAGACUAUGAUGGACAUUUAGAAGAAGAACAAGCGAAAAGCUUGGGGUCGCCUAUGACGACCUUUGUUAUUUAUAUUUACUCUGUUUCGAAUUUUUAAUCAAUUUGAUUAUAUUCUUUUGAUUAGUUUAGUUCUAUACUUAACUUGGGAUUGUUGAUUUACUUUUGAUUUAUUCACUUAGUAUUCUCACUUAGUUACUGGUAGAUAUUAUCUAUUUUAUAUAAUAGUGCUCUUAAAGAAUUUUUGAAGCGCCCUUUAAGUUUCAGGUUUCUAAGUUCGGAACUAAAUCAAUUAUUUUUUAAAAAAAAAAACAAAAACGAAAGACGUGCUUCAGUUGAAAUUGACAAUUUGUUUCUUAUAACAUCAUGAAAAAAUGUGAAUAUUUUUUAAACUACUAUAUUGUAAGCUAUAUUUUCUUAAAAUACCUCAAAUGAUAUUUCUUGAUAUUUUUAUAUAACUUAUUAACCUAAACUUGGUCGGUUAACUGUUAUUAACGUAUUUUAAAAGGUGCUUUAAAAACCUUCCUUUUAGAAUAUUUAAAAUCCUUACUUAGAAUCUUUAGGUUAAGACCAUAAGACAGAGUUUGACUUAAGCUUUAAAAAUAGGUGUCCUAAUUCACAUUAGAAUUAAUUAGGUGGCGACUCUCUUAAAAUUAAUUAAACCUCAGAAUCGCUAAUACGUUAUACUCUAAUUUGACCCGGUUUAAAUGGGGUAUAACAGGUCUUAGGCGCGUGUACGGAAGUUGAUUUGGAGGUCCGUAGGUCGUUCCGGCGCGAAUUGGCAAAAAUUGGAAAAUGGGAGAUUUUUGGAAAGUUUGACCGAGAGUUGGCUUUAUUGAUAUUGGGGUUGGAUCCUGAUUCUGAAAAUUGAAUAGGUGCGUAAUGUCAUUUAUGACUUGUGUACAAGAUUUAGUAUCAAUCGGAGUGUUUUGGUAUGAAUUGGCGUUAGUUUCAGAAUUUGGGAGUUCAUAGUUUAUAGGCUUGAAUUUGGGUUGUGAUUCGUAGAAUUUGUGUUGUUUGGAUGUCAUUUGACGCUUUGAGUGUGUUCUUAUGAUGUAUUAGGAUUUGUUUAUAUGGUUGGUUGAGGUCCCAGGGGCCUCGGGUGUAAUUCGAACCAUGUUCGGCGCAUUUCGGAUCAUUGAGGAACUACUGAAGUUCUGGUCAUUCUCAGUUCUGGUUUUCUUCUACACGUUCGCGAAGGUGUUCCCGUGUUCGCGUAGAGUAUUCUGAGAUUGCUAGAGGUUUACCAUUCGCAUUCGCGAAGAAGGCCACGCGUUCACGAAGGGCCAGGAAUUUGUGCACUACGAUCACGGACUGGGAUCUGUGUUCGCGAAGAGGAAAGGCAGCCUGGGGUGGGGACUCACGCAUUCGCAAGAAGGGCUUCAUGAUCAUGAAGCUUGAGAACUUUUGUCAUCGCGUUCGAGAGUGGAUCCUCGGGGUUGCGUAAGAGGAAAUCUAGCUGCAACAUUUUUAUAUUUCGCGAACGCGAGACAUUUUUUGCGUUUAUGAAGAAGGAAAUCACUAGGCAGCACACUUAAGUUUCAAAAUGGAGGGUUUAUUUCAUUUUUUGACUUAGAUAGCUCGGUUUAAGGAGAAAUUUCGAGGUAUUUUCAGAGAUAACUUUGGGGUAAGAAUUCCAAGCUCGAUUUUAGUUAAAUUACUCGAGUCUAUCAUUGUUUUUAUCAUGUAAUUAAGGAUUGGAGUUGGAAAAAUUGGGGAAAAGUGGUAGAACUUCAUAGACUAAGUUUUUGAUUUUGAAGGGAGAAAUAAGGUCGGAUUUGAAUAAUUCUUGUAUGGUUGGACUAAAUAUCGAAUGGGUGUUCGGUUUUACUAAUUUUGGUCGGGUUCUGAGACGCGGGCCCGGGAUGACUUUUUGGGUCGAUUUUUCAAUUCUUUGCAAAGAUCGUAAUUUCAUUGUUUGAAUUAGUUUCAUAUAGUUAUAUUUAUAGUAUGAAAUUAUUUUGGCUAGAUUCGAGCUGUUCAGAGUUGGAAAAUCGAGAAAAAAGUCUUCUAGUGGAUUGAUUUAGUGUGGUUUGAGAUAAGUGGCUUGCCUAACUUUGUGUGGGGGAAUUUUCCCUAAGGAUUGGUGUUGUUUGUGAUAACUGUGAUGUGUAAGAGCAGUGUAUGCAAGGUAACGAGUGUGUAAACGGGCUAAAUGGGGAAAUUGCCAAUUUUUAGCUAUGUAGAUUCUUUUCAUGCUUUAAUUGAUUUACUUUAACAUGUUAUAGUUAUCAUAUUUAGUCUAAUUUUACAUGUCUACUUGUCUUAUCUCUUACUUGUUAAUUGAUCUACAUCUUUAGUUGAAAUUCUUGUUUCCUUUACUCCGUAUUCAUUAUUUAACUGUUGAAUUCUUACAUGAAAAUUGCUAUUUCUUGGAAUACCUUAUUAUUGAAAUUGGUAUUGAGUUGAAAAGGCCAUGAUUCCUAUUGAGGCAAAGUGUUAAGUUGUGAAAUAUCAUUCUACUGAGUUAUUGUUUCGGUUAUUAUUGUUGAGACUUGUGUACAUUAUGGUUGAGCUGUAGGCUCCUUAUUCUGAUAUUGGGCACUUGAGGUGUGAUUUGUGAUACACUGUGAUAUUGAUACGCAUGCAAUGGUAUAAGGUCUAGGUGUUGAAAUGCAUGUGGCGAGAUAAGGUGGGCUUGAUACGCGUGGCUAGUAGGGGAACUACUAGAAGCCAUGCGAUGUGAUAAAGUGAGCUAAAAUGUGGAUGCUAUUUCGGGAAAUAUAAUUUUCAAAACUAAAUGUAAAGGCUCUCGUGGCGAUAUAAGGAAAUAUUGUGAUUUAUUUUUGUGAUUUGAGACUAUGAGGUGGUACCUCGGUAGUGACUCUUAUUGACAUUUCCUCAUUCUUUUGUACUUGUCUUUGAUCGUUGUUUCCUUAGCAUACUAAUAGUUGUCUUUAUCCGUGUUGCAUUAUUUGCUUAGUUCUAUGUAGCUAAUCUUGUUAUACCAUUCGUUGUUUCAAUUUCAUUACUGUCUUCAUUAUACUGCCUACAUCUGUUUAGUCCUUUAUCAUUUUCAAUAGGGCCUGAUCUGACCUCGUCACUAAUCUACCGAGGUUAGGCUUGACAUUUAUUGGGUAUCAUUGUGGUGUACUCAUGCUACUAUUCUGCACAUCUUUUUGUGCAGAUCUAGGUACUUCUUACCAGCACAUGCAUUAGUUGGGAUUCUAUUACGGAGACUUCAAGGUAUACCUGCCGGCGUCCGCAGGCCUCAGAGUCCCCCUCUCUCUAGACCUCUUAUUUCAUUAUCCUUUAUAUAUAGACAUGAUGUAUAGGAUUAUCUAGUAUUCAUAUUUAGAGCUUGUGACUUGUAUUACGUCG